This 628-nucleotide unclassified non-coding RNA is filed under the name Hevea brasiliensis (rubber tree). The record is from RNAcentral. Lineage: Eukaryota; Viridiplantae; Streptophyta; Magnoliopsida; Malpighiales; Euphorbiaceae.
CUUGUUAUAGCCAAGAUGGAUGGAACAACAAAUGAGCAUCCUCGGGCGAAGGCUGACGGAUUCCCUACCAUUCUCUUCUUCCCUGCUGGAAACAAGAGCUUUGAUCCGCUUACUGUAGACACUGAUCGCACUGUGGUAGCAUUAUAUAAGUUCAUCAAGAAACAUGCAUCCAUCCCCGUCAAGCUUCAAAAGCCAGCUUCAACUCCAAAAUCUGAGAGUUCUGAUGCAAAAGGGAGUCAGGAGAGUAGCACCAAGGAUGUGAAGGAUGAAUUGUGAGGAACAGAAAAUUUUACAUACAUUGCUAAUUUAUGUAUCUUUUUAUAUCAUCAAGACAUCAACUAGGCUAAAUCAACAGUUUCAGAUGAAAAUUGUUUGACCAUAGAGGGAUAAUUAUGUCAAAGUAGAGGGAGAAAUAGUUUGAUCAUUUGAAUCCCCCAAAACACCCCACUAGAAAAGGGGAAAGAAAAAAGCCCUCAAAGUAAGGAAGGGAAGCAAGGGACAUAUAUUAGCUUUCAAGUUUUGUUAGAAUAUUCUCGUAAAAGAGUUCUAAUAAAAAGGCUUUGUCCUCAUUUUCCAUUUUCUGCAACAUAGAGGAAUUCUUGAUGUAGUAGUGAGUUGGGGCCGGGUG